UUUGCUUUCUUAUCAGUCUGGCAAGAUGGAAGUAUUUAUUAGUUAGCACGGAUGACAAGCCGUUGAAUAACGUAGUAGAGAACUAGUCAUUUGGCAAAAUUCGGCUCAUACUCCUAAACGUGUUGCAUUCUUUCUACGUGAAUUGUUGAUACAAUACUAUUGCAAUGGACUUUCGUACCAUAUUCCUGUUUCUGGUCGCCGGGUACGUUGCAGAUUGUUCACGAAUCCUUGCAAUAUUUCCGUACCAGGGUCGAAGUCACAACAUAAUGUUCGAGCCUUUGAUGAUCGGUUUGGCACGUGCAGGCCACACAGUUGACGUAGUCAGUCAUUUUCCACUAGAAAAGCAGGUGGCAGGCUUUAACCACAUUAGUCUGAAAGGCACACUGCACUUCUACGUCAAUAAUGUAACCGCAUCACUUGCACGAAAAGAGAAUGGAGUGUACCAAACAUUGAAAUUUCUUUCUCACCAAGAACCCGAAAGCCUCUGCAGCCUGAUGCGAUUACCGCAAGUCCAAAAUGUCAUCAAUUCGGACACCAAGUAUGACAUCUUCAUCACCGAGAUACUGGGGUCAAACUGUUACCUUGCUGUGGCUCACAAAAUGAAGAUUCCAUUCGUUGGAAUCGUUACCAAUGUCAUGUACUCCUGGGCUAUUGAUCCUGUGUUCGGCGACGCGAAUCCAAGUUUCAUUCCGUCACAGUUGUCGACUUUUACAAACAAGAUGAGUUUCUUUGAACGCGUGGAGAAUCUCAUGAUUCAUGUGUAUUCAAAGUUUCUCUUCUCAUAUUUCGACAAAACAGUAUCUGAUCCACUCACUAAAACAUACUUCGAGGAUGUUCCACCACUGAAUGACAUCUACAAUAACAUGAGUCUGGUAUUAGCCAAUAGUCAUUUUAGUAUCCACGGUGUCCGUCCAGGGAACUCAGCCAUCGUUGAAGUAGCAGGUCUGCACAUCGACGAAACCCAAGUGCUUUCAGAGGAAUUGGAGACGUAUUUGAAUUCCUCUAAGGAUGGCGUGGUGUACUUCAGUAUGGGUACGAUGUUGAGGUCUGACACAUUCCCGGUGGAACGGAUAUUAGCAAUGUAUGAAAGUUUUUCGGAACUGAAAAAUUACAAAGUCUUAUGGAAGGGAAACUUGGAGGAUAUGCCAAAACCGUUACCGUCAAACGUCAAGAUAGUUCCAUGGGCACCACAGUACGCAGUACUCCGUCACCCGAAAGUAAAAGCAUUCGUGACGCAUGGGGGUUUGAUGGGGACCCAGGAAGCGAUACACGUCGGAGUUCCUAUGAUUGGGAUCCCGUUCUUCUCUGACCAGACGUUUAACAUAAUGGGAUACGUGCAGAGAGGCUUCGCCGUUCACCUCGACUACGACGAUAUAAGCAAAGCGAGCUUUUCCAAGGCCUUAACGGAGGUACUGUCCGACCCGAAGUAUCAAUCUAACGCAGCACGUUACUCAAGACUGUUCAGGGAUCGUCCUCUAUCGCCGAUGGAUGAGGCCAUUUUCUGGAUCGAAUACGUAAUUCGUAAUGGAGGCGAGCCACUCAGGUCCUCGGGUCGUCAUCUUAACUGGUUUCAGUAUUACUUGAUAGAUGUAGGUCUAUUUUUAUUUUUUAUAACAGUCCUCGUCAUUACUGUCGCAUUCACCUUCGUAAAAAAAGUACUCCAUUUUAUUGCACGCAAACUGAGUUAUGAGCAUCCGAUUAAAGAUAAAUCUUCCUAGACGCGUGUGUAAAAUAGAUAUAUUUAUACUGUGAAUAUUAAGAGUAAGUUCAUCUUCCAAAGUAGCAAGUAAGUAUUCUAGAGUCUCGUUCGCGCGAGCUCAAGCUUUCGGGUGAGUGGAUGUAGGUUAUGUCACAUCGAACUUGAAUAACCACCCAUCUGUAAGGUUUGGGUCAGCGUAUUUCUAAACCUCCUUCAACGUCUACUAUAAUAGGUCCGUGGCCGUGCGAAUGAAUUACAUUUUUCAACAACAUCACCAUCCACACAAAGUUCAAUUUCAAUAUUGAAUUCGCAGUUUGAAAAUCAUGAAAUUUCAAUUAGAUCGAUACUAUUAAGAGUCCAAUCAUUAGUAAUAAGGUACAUUACAUCGUUCCAAGAGAUACCGACAAAGCGUGGAAUUGUACGCGCUGAUAUAAGAGAUUCACGAUCUGUUGUCAUUUGAUGUAAGCGUAACCGUUAUUUAGUCCAUGAAUUCGUCAAAUAUCAGUCAUUAUUCUGUGCUUGUUAUUUAUGAUGAUUUACGAAGGUAUUACUACCGAGAUUGGGAUAAAUAUUGAACGAAAGUCCUUAAUUGAUAUGAGCUUGACAAUAUUGAGGAUUCCACAAUAGAUUAAGUAUACUUAUAUUGACAUAUAUCCGACGAGAUACGACCAAUAUACAAUCAGACACAGAGGGCAACCUCAACUUUGAAUAAGGGACAGUUUUUGCAAUGAAUUCACCUAAUUAACUCUCUAAAUUUGUAAAAAAAAAAAAUGUACAAUAUAAAUCCCCUUUUCCAGAUCGAAUAAAUGUUGAAUUAAUUCUUAUGCAUUCAUACUCUUGAAGACAAAAAUAUAAUUCUCAUGUUUUCCAGACAAGAA
Molecule: unclassified non-coding RNA, 2577 nt
Filed under: Neodiprion pinetum (white pine sawfly)
Lineage: Eukaryota; Metazoa; Arthropoda; Insecta; Hymenoptera; Diprionidae
Description: uDP-glucosyltransferase 2-like, transcript variant X1
Source: RNAcentral